GAUUAAGUUAUUAAGGGCGCACGGUGGAUGCCUUGGCACUAGAAGCCGAUGAAGGACGUUACUAACGACGAUAUGCUUUGGGGAGCUGUAAGUAAGCUUUGAUCCAGAGAUUUCCGAAUGGGGAAACCCAGCAUGAGUUAUGUCAUGUUAUCGAUAUGUGAAUACAUAGCAUAUCAGAAGGCACACCCGGAGAACUGAAACAUCUUAGUACCCGGAGGAAGAGAAAGAAAAUUCGAUUCCCUUAGUAGCGGCGAGCGAAACGGGAAGAGCCCAAACCAACAAGCUUGCUUGUUGGGGUUGUAGGACACUCUAUACGGAGUUACAAAGGACGACAUUAGACGAAUCAUCUGGAAAGAUGAAUCAAAGAAGGUAAUAAUCCUGUAGUCGAAAAUGUUGUCUCUCUUGAGUGGAUCCUGAGUACGACGGAGCACGUGAAAUUCCGUCGGAAUCUGGGAGGACCAUCUCCUAAGGCUAAAUACUCUCUAGUGACCGAUAGUGAACCAGUACCGUGAGGGAAAGGUGAAAAGCACCCCGGAAGGGGAGUGAAAUAGAACCUGAAACCGUGUGCUUACAAGUAGUCAGAGCCCGUUAAUGGGUGAUGGCGUGCCUUUUGUAGAAUGAACCGGCGAGUUACGAUUUGAUGCAAGGUUAAGCAGUAAAUGUGGAGCCGUAGCGAAAGCGAGUCUGAAUAGGGCGUUUAGUAUUUGGUCGUAGACCCGAAACCAGGUGAUCUACCCUUGGUCAGGUUGAAGUUCAGGUAACACUGAAUGGAGGACCGAACCGACUUACGUUGAAAAGUGAGCGGAUGAACUGAGGGUAGCGGAGAAAUUCCAAUCGAACCUGGAGAUAGCUGGUUCUCUCCGAAAUAGCUUUAGGGCUAGCCUCAAGUGAUGAUUAUUGGAGGUAGAGCACUGUUUGGACGAGGGGCCCCUCUCGGGUUACCGAAUUCAGACAAACUCCGAAUGCCAAUUAAUUUAACUUGGGAGUCAGAACAUGGGUGAUAAGGUCCGUGUUCGAAAGGGAAACAGCCCAGACCACCAGCUAAGGUCCCAAAAUAUAUGUUAAGUGGAAAAGGAUGUGGCGUUGCCCAGACAACUAGGAUGUUGGCUUAGAAGCAGCCAUCAUUUAAAGAGUGCGUAAUAGCUCACUAGUCGAGUGACACUGCGCCGAAAAUGUACCGGGGCUAAACAUAUUACCGAAGCUGUGGAUUGUCCUUUGGACAAUGGUAGGAGAGCGUUCUAAGGGCGUUGAAGCAUGAUCGUAAGGACAUGUGGAGCGCUUAGAAGUGAGAAUGCCGGUGUGAGUAGCGAAAGACGGGUGAGAAUCCCGUCCACCGAUUGACUAAGGUUUCCAGAGGAAGGCUCGUCCGCUCUGGGUUAGUCGGGUCCUAAGCUGAGGCCGACAGGCGUAGGCGAUGGAUAACAGGUUGAUAUUCCUGUACCACCUAUAAUCGUUUUAAUCGAUGGGGGGACGCAGUAGGAUAGGCGAAGCGUGCGAUUGGAUUGCACGUCUAAGCAGUAAGGCUGAGUAUUAGGCAAAUCCGGUACUCGUUAAGGCUGAGCUGUGAUGGGGAGAAGACAUUGUGUCUUCGAGUCGUUGAUUUCACACUGCCGAGAAAAGCCUCUAGAUAGAAAAUAGGUGCCCGUACCGCAAACCGACACAGGUAGUCAAGAUGAGAAUUCUAAGGUGAGCGAGCGAACUCUCGUUAAGGAACUCGGCAAAAUGACCCCGUAACUUCGGGAGAAGGGGUGCUCUUUAGGGUUAACGCCCAGAAGAGCCGCAGUGAAUAGGCCCAAGCGACUGUUUAUCAAAAACACAGGUCUCUGCUAAACCGUAAGGUGAUGUAUAGGGGCUGACGCCUGCCCGGUGCUGGAAGGUUAAGAGGAGUGGUUAGCUUCUGCGAAGCUACGAAUCGAAGCCCCAGUAAACGGCGGCCGUAACUAUAACGGUCCUAAGGUAGCGAAAUUCCUUGUCGGGUAAGUUCCGACCCGCACGAAAGGCGUAACGAUUUGGGCACUGUCUCAACGAGAGACUCGGUGAAAUCAUAGUACCUGUGAAGAUGCAGGUUACCCGCGACAGGACGGAAAGACCCCGUGGAGCUUUACUGUAGCCUGAUAUUGAAAUUCGGCACAGCUUGUACAGGAUAGGUAGGAGCCUUUGAAACGUGAGCGCUAGCUUACGUGGAGGCGCUGGUGGGAUACUACCCUAGCUGUGUUGGCUUUCUAACCCGCACCACUUAUCGUGGUGGGAGACAGUGUCAGGCGGGCAGUUUGACUGGGGCGGUCGCCUCCUAAAAGGUAACGGAGGCGCUCAAAGGUUCCCUCAGAAUGGUUGGAAAUCAUUCAUAGAGUGUAAAGGCAUAAGGGAGCUUGACUGCGAGACCUACAAGUCGAGCAGGGUCGAAAGACGGACUUAGUGAUCCGGUGGUUCCGCAUGGAAGGGCCAUCGCUCAACGGAUAAAAGCUACCCCGGGGAUAACAGGCUUAUCUCCCCCAAGAGUUCACAUCGACGGGGAGGUUUGGCACCUCGAUGUCGGCUCAUCGCAUCCUGGGGCUGUAGUCGGUCCCAAGGGUUGGGCUGUUCGCCCAUUAAAGCGGUACGCGAGCUGGGUUCAGAACGUCGUGAGACAGUUCGGUCCCUAUCCGUCGUGGGCGUAGGAAAUUUGAGAGGAGCUGUCCUUAGUACGAGAGGACCGGGAUGGACAUACCUCUGGUGUACCAGUUGUCGU
Molecule: ribosomal RNA, 2728 nt
Filed under: Staphylococcus aureus
Lineage: Bacteria; Bacillati; Bacillota; Bacilli; Caryophanales; Staphylococcaceae
Description: partial 23S ribosomal RNA
Rfam family: Bacterial large subunit ribosomal RNA
Source: RNAcentral